GUCAUUCAUGAGAGUUGGAGAAAGGCCAUGGAAGUUGAACUAAAAGCUACGGAGGCUAACAAUACAUGGAACAUUGUUCCAUUACCAAUCGAUAAGAAUAUUGUAGGAUGCCAAUGGAUAUAUAAAAUUAAGCAUAAAGUUGAUGGGACCGUUGAACAUUAUAAAGCAAGGCUUGUUGCUAAAGGGUAUAGACAACAUGAAGGUCUUGACUAUUUUGAAACCUUCUCUUUGGUAGCCAAAAUGGUUACUGUCAAAACUCUGUUGACUAUAGCAGUAUCAAAGGAUUGACACCUAGUUUAAUUACAUGUGAAUAAUGCUUUUGUUCAUGGAGACUUGAUUGAAGAAGUAUACAUAGAUAUGGCUCUUGGUUAUGAACCAAAGUUUGCCAUUCAGGGGGAGAAAAUGGUGUGCAAAAUUUUCACAUUUCCUCACUUCACUUGGUUGUCAACAGUCGAAGGCAGAUUACUCCCUAUUCGUAAAAGGCUAAGGUACUGAUUUUCUUGCAUUACUUGUCUAUGUUUAUGAUACUAUUAUUAGGGGAGCAAAUAUUAGUCUUAUCUGAAGCUUACAAAGCAUGCUCAAACAUAAGUUCUUACUUAAAGAUUUGAGGUCUCUCAAGUUCUUUCUUGGGCUUGAGUUAGCUCGGUCAUCAACUGGUAUUUAAUUUCUUUAUCACAAAGAUACUACACACUACGAUUAUUAGAAGAUGUUAGAUUGCUUGGUGCCAAACCAGUAAUAGUGCCAAUGGAUCCCUACAAUUAAACUAAAGAAUGCUGAGAAAAACUUCUUUCAAGACCCAACUGCAUAUCAGAGGCUUAUAGGUAAGUUACUAUACUUGACUAUUUCAAUGCCUGAUAUUACUUUUGGAGUACAUAAACUUAGUCAGUUCAUGGCACAUCCGGAUAGAACCCAUAUGAAUGCAGCAAACCACCUAUUAAGGUACAUCAAAGGGUCUUCAGGCCAAGGAAUUUUCUUGUCCAAGACAGAUGCUUUAUCUAUAAAAGCUUUUGUAGAUGCAAAUUGGGGAUCUUGUCCAGAUACUUGCCCUUCAUUCAGUGGUUUUUGUGUUUUCCUUCGCAAGUCUUUAAUUUCAUGAAAGUUAAAGAAAUAGCAAAGUGUUUCACAUUCAUCAGCUGAGGGAGAGUAUCGAGCAUUAGCAACAGUUACUUGUGAAGUCAUAUGGCUCAAGAGUUUGCUCAAAGAACUUCAGAUUUCAUUAGCCACACUAGCUUUUGUUUUUUGUGACAACCAAGCUGCCAUUUAUAUCGCUAACAAUCCCUUAUUUAAUUGAAGGACCAAACAUAUAGAACUUGACUGUCAUUUUGUUCGAGAUAAAGUAAUUGAUGGAUCCAUUAAACUGCUUCUUAUACGGUCGUCGAAUCAGCUUGUAGAUGCACUCACCAAGCCUCUAAAUUCCAAUACUUUGUCUCUUCAUUUACACGAGAUGGGAGUAAAAGAUAUAUACUCUCAAUCUCGAGGGAGAUUAUUAGAAGUAAUGUUGUUAAAAGAGUUUCUCUUAUUAGUUGUUACUAUUAGUUGUUAGUUGUUACUGUUAGUUACAUUCAAGUUAUCAACGAUAUCUAUAGAAAGUAUUAUAAAUAUCACUCUUUGUUAGUGAAUAAAAUAAGUGAAAGUAUGCUAUAGAAUAUGUACAAUAACUAGUUUGUUUAGGUUUGUUGAGAAAAUAUUAAUUAAAGGGUUAAUUUUUCUUUAUAUGUCAUAUAUAAUUCCAGGUUAUGUAAGUCCAAAAGUUGAGUGAUCACUAUUUUAGGUUGAAAUUUUGUAGGGCAUAACACUAUAAAUCAACAUUCAACGUACAAAUUUGAAACUAUAAAUAGUUGACAAUGCUUACUACUCUCCCUCUAAAUAAGGGUUCUAGAAAGCUACAAUCGUUUCUUUAAUUUCUCAAACAGAUGUUAUAACCGUUUUUACACCAUUCAUUUUGGAAUGUUGCCAACGAUGAUGAUUUAAAUCCUUUUUUAGCCAUUACAAUCACGUAUGAUUUCUCUUUAUAUAUUAAAGUUCGUCUUCCUUUCUCUCAAAUCAAACAAGUUCUUGCUUUAAAAGUCUAUUUGUUACACACCUGCAUCCCUGCUAACAAAUCACCACACAAAACAAUACCUAAAGAAUAGAUAUGGUGAAUGGAAUGCAAAAUUGUAUUGAAUUAGCACCAAUAAUUACUGUUUCACGUAAAAGGUGUUCAAGCUCCCCCAAAUUAGACACCAUUGUUGAAGAAUACCCCAAGUCUUUUGGGGUUUUAAAAAGGAGAAUUUUGUUUGUUCUUCCAAUUUUGUUCUCUUUUAUAUCUUAUGUCAUUUUGUUUAGGCAAUAUUAAUAUUAGUCUAAAGAAUAUUUGCUAUUUUCAUUUGGCUUUUGUGGUAUUCAAUUUUACCUUAGUUUGCAACUCAACCUUGAAGUUAUUAUGAAAUUGUCCCUAGUAUGCAAUUCAUUUAAAUUUUAAAACAUGAAACUACACCCAAAGUUAUAAAUAUGCAAAAAAAAAUUAGACAAGUUUUACAACAUUCGACAAAUUUCUAAAAAAUCGAGGGACCUUUACAUGAUCAUAUUAAAAAAAUUGUAAAUCUGUGGUCAACUUUUACAAAAUUUUACAAAAAACAUCCCAUUGCAAACCAUAUUCAUAAUGCAAAAAUCCCACCUAACUAAUGCAAAAUUUAAAAUUUGUAAUUAAAACUUGAGAUGACUUUGAUACCAAUUGAAGGGAUAGGCCCUUGGUAGCUGAAGAUUUUACUGAAUCAUUUCUCCAUUUAAUUUAGAAAUUCCAAACUACAGUACAUUGACAAAAAUAAUUAAGAAACUAAUUUUCUUAUUCAGCAUGCUUUAAUAAAAUAUAGAUUAGAAAAAGAAAAACUUACAUAGUUUGACGUCUCUGAAUCUACCAAAUCUCAAAAUUUGGUACACUAUCUAUCAGAGACCAUUCGUAUUCUCUAGAAUGAAAUUGGUUUAUGAGAACCAAUUAGGAUGAAAAAAUAUUUUUUCAGAUAGCAAAA
Molecule: long non-coding RNA, 3008 nt
Filed under: Cucumis sativus (cucumber)
Lineage: Eukaryota; Viridiplantae; Streptophyta; Magnoliopsida; Cucurbitales; Cucurbitaceae
Description: long non-coding RNA (CSAT_LNC000575)
Source: RNAcentral